This 445-nucleotide ribosomal RNA is filed under the name uncultured bacterium. Its description in RNAcentral is "partial 16S ribosomal RNA". It matches the Rfam family "Bacterial small subunit ribosomal RNA", at positions 354 to 796 of the family's 1533-position model. The record is from RNAcentral.
GUGAGGAAUAUUGGUCAAUGGGCGAGAGCCUGAACCAGCCAAGUCGCGUGAAGGAUGAAGGUUUUAUGAAUUGUAAACUUCUUUUGCAGGGGAAUAAAGUACGGUACGUGUACCGUUUUGUAUGUACUCUGCGAAUAAGGAUCGGCUAACUCCGUGCCAGCAGCCGCGGUAAUACGGAGGAUCCAAGCGUUAUCCGGAUUUAUUGGGUUUAAAGGGUGCGCAGGCGGGUUGAUAAGUCAGCGGUGAAAGUUUGCAGCUUAACUGUAAAAUUGCCGUUGAAACUGUCGAUCUUGAGUGCAAAUGAGGUAAGCGGAAUGUGUUGUGUAGCGGUGAAAUGCUUAGAUAUAACACAGAACACCGAUUGCGAAGGCAGCUUACUAAGCUACAACUGACACUGAAGCACGAAAGCGUGGGGAUCAAACAGGAUUAGAUACCCGUGUAGUCC